Molecule: ribosomal RNA, 583 nt
Filed under: Fusarium oxysporum f. sp. albedinis
Lineage: Eukaryota; Fungi; Ascomycota; Sordariomycetes; Hypocreales; Nectriaceae
Description: LSU rRNA
Rfam family: Eukaryotic large subunit ribosomal RNA
Source: RNAcentral
AUAUCAAUAAGCGGAGGAAAAGAAACCAACAGGGAUUGCCCUAGUAACGGCGAGUGAAGCGGCAACAGCUCAAAUUUGAAAUCUGGCUCUCGGGCCCGAGUUGUAAUUUGUAGAGGAUACUUUUGAUGCGGUGCCUUCCGAGUUCCCUGGAACGGGACGCCAUAGAGGGUGAGAGCCCCGUCUGGUUGGAUGCCAAAUCUCUGUAAAGUUCCUUCAACGAGUCGAGUAGUUUGGGAAUGCUGCUCUAAAUGGGAGGUAUAUGUCUUCUAAAGCUAAAUACCGGCCAGAGACCGAUAGCGCACAAGUAGAGUGAUCGAAAGAUGAAAAGCACUUUGAAAAGAGAGUUAAAAAGUACGUGAAAUUGUUGAAAGGGAAGCGUUUAUGACCAGACUUGGGCUUGGUUAAUCAUCUGGGGUUCUCCCCAGUGCACUUUUCCAGUCCAGGCCAGCAUCAGUUUUCCCCGGGAGAUAAAGGCGGCGGGAAUGUGGCUCUCUUCGGGGAGUGUUAUAGCCCACCGUGUAAUACCCUGGGGGGGACUGAGGUUCGCGCAUCUGCAAGGAUGCUGGCGUAAUGGUCAUCAACG